Molecule: ribosomal RNA, 600 nt
Filed under: Labrenzia sp.
Lineage: Bacteria; Pseudomonadati; Pseudomonadota; Alphaproteobacteria; Hyphomicrobiales; Stappiaceae
Description: bacterial SSU rRNA
Rfam family: Bacterial small subunit ribosomal RNA
Source: RNAcentral
UGCGCAGCUUACACAUGCAGUCGAACGAACUCUUCGGAGUUAGUGGCAGACGGGUGAGUAACGCGUGGGAAUAUACCUUUCGGUACGGAACAACAGUUGGAAACGACUGCUAAUACCGUAUGCGCCCUAUGGGGGAAAGAUUUAUCGCCGAAGGAUUAGCCCGCGUUGGAUUAGCUAGUUGGUGGGGUAAAGGCCUACCAAGGCGACGAUCCAUAGCUGGUCUGAGAGGAUGAUCAGCCACACUGGGACUGAGACACGGCCCAGACUCCUACGGGAGGCAGCAGUGGGGAAUAUUGGACAAUGGGGGCAACCCUGAUCCAGCCAUGCCGCGUGAGUGAUGAAGGCCCUAGGGUUGUAAAGCUCUUUCAGCGAGGAGGAUAAUGACGUUACUCGCAGAAGAAGCCCCGGCUAACUUCGUGCCAGCAGCCGCGGUAAUACGAAGGGGGCUAGCGUUGUUCGGAAUCACUGGGCGUAAAGCGCACGUAGGCGGAUUGGUCAGUUAGGGGUGAAAUCCCAGAGCUCAACUCUGGAACUGCCUUUAAUACUGCCAGUCUUGAGUCCGAGAGAGGUGAGUGGAACUCCGAGUGUAGAGGUGAAAUU